RNAcentral lists this long non-coding RNA (362 nucleotides) under Lactuca sativa (garden lettuce). RNAcentral describes it as "long non-coding RNA (LSAT_LNC005465)". Lineage: Eukaryota; Viridiplantae; Streptophyta; Magnoliopsida; Asterales; Asteraceae. The record is from RNAcentral.
UUUACUCUGAAAUACACCUGCCCACUUUAUGAUUGAAAGAAAACAAACAUUCAUUAAAGAACUAAAAAAGAAGAAGACGAAGAUCGGAGAUAAAUUGCAACUAAUAAGAGCAUACCCACCAAUUAACGUGUUUCUGAAUAAGAAACUUCUUUGAAUCAUUUCAACAAAUAGGUUAUUGGCAUCCCACCAGAGCUUUUAUGUAUGUAAAAAUGUCACCCCUUCGCCUCCUCAAAUGCAACAGAACCUCCAUUACCAGUUUUAAUACACAUAAUUGAACUUGAAAAUUAGGGCUCAGAUUUGUCACCUGAUUGAAGGAGGAGGCCAACUGCGUUGACUAUUUAUGACCGGUUGGCCUCCAUGUG